AAAAAUCUUGUAACUGUGUACAAUUUACAAUUUGAAUUAUUCAGCUUGUCAUUCACUUAAUACACGUCCGUCGCGGAUAUUAAAAUACAUAAGCAUGAACAAAG
Drosophila navojoa is the source of this 104-nucleotide long non-coding RNA. NCBI's taxonomy places the organism in Eukaryota, Metazoa, Arthropoda, Insecta, Diptera, Drosophilidae. The record is from RefSeq and is a predicted model, not a curated record.